RNAcentral lists this unclassified non-coding RNA (6987 nucleotides) under Leishmania donovani. RNAcentral describes it as "gene:LdHU3.32.2480(CDS-product:3'-5'_exonuclease-_putative)". The record is from RNAcentral. Lineage: Eukaryota; Euglenozoa; Kinetoplastea; Trypanosomatida; Trypanosomatidae.
CAGCGUUUUUUUUUCGGGGGGCGCUGCUUCUGUCUCCCUUUUUUUGUCUUCUGGCGUUCAUAUAUCUUCUCUUUCUUCGACCUUUCAAACCGUCUGACUCAGUGCGUGUCUUCUUCUGUGACGGUGAGCGAGGCAAGGGAAGAGAGUGGGGACGGCACUACCAAAAAAAAGGGGGAGAAAAGGAUACCCUUAGUGGCGUUCCACUGCCGCCCCGCGUAUUCAAAAACGCCUCAUCUCUGCUUCCCUCGCACGCAACAACGCACUCGAACACUAGCCGUUUUGUUUCGGUUCAUCAUAGCUUCACUCAUACAAUCCAUAUACAUAUAUGUAUUCGCUCUGCUGAAACGCCGUCUCUCUCCUCCUCUUUCGUGUGCUUCACUCCGCUCACUUCACCCCCUCAAAAAUACGUUCCACCUGCGCUCUUUUCAACGCUUCGUGCCACUGCCGGUGUCUCGACAGGUUGCAGAGAAGUCCGCCCCACCACACCCCCUCCCCUCCCAUCCCCUCCCCUCCCCUCCCCUCCCCUCCCCUCCCUCUUUGUUCUUCCUGCGCUGCUCGUGAUCGCGUUUCGUUUUUCUUUUUCUCGCACUUUGACCGCAAGAGCCCCCUCGUCGUCACGCCUUUGGCGUUUUGCUUUGCUGCGCGACUGCCCUCCUUGCAUCGUCCUCCUCGCCUCCGUUCUUUCGCAUCUUCCCUUUUCUGUCUUGCUUGUUUCCUCUUGUAUUCGUCACACCUUUUCCCCUUCCACUGUGCCUCUUCUCUCCUCUGCUUUGCUGUUUUUCCUUUUUUUCUUCCCUUUUUUUAUUCCUCCCCCCUCCCCCCAGGGUGCCUUUUGUAUCGUUGUGACGUCUAGUGGGGAGGGCGACACGGUGCCCCUUCUUUUUGUUUUUCUCUGCGUGUAUGUGCAUGCGUGCGCGGAUCUCCUGUUACUUCCCGCCUUGUUUUUUUUUCUUUCGGCGCGUUGUCCCCCUCAUCCCUCGCUAUCUUUCUUUUCCGUUUGCUUUUGCUAGGCUUACGCACACGUUGUCGGGCUGAUUAUAGCAGAUCUCUAUUUCUCUUUUCCCUUUUAUCUGGUGUUGUCGCCUCUUCGUCGCCCUUGGCACCGUCUCCCGCCCUGUAAGGUGGCAGCCGCCUUUCUUUGUCCUUCUUUUUUGUCGAUAUCAUUCGACUUGACGCUUUUCUUUCCCACACUCAACAACUUCUUCGGCGAAAAAAAAAAUAGGUAAGCGAGCGUACUUACAGAGCAGCAGAUCCACCUGCUGUGCUUUCUUGCUUCUUUUCCGCCUUCGCCCCCACCCCCACCCUACUCUUUCGUCUGUUCUUUGGCCCAUGUGCGCGUGAGUACGUGUGUGUGUGUAUGCGGUGUUGCCCCCCUUUUUUCUCGCUCUCUUUCCGUUUGCUUUCCAGGAUCUCUUUGAUGUUUUUCUUGCUUUGCCGCUGUUCUUGUGUUUCACCUUGAGCCGUUCUCGCUUCUCUGUACCCUUCUUGACGCUUCUAUUCUUGAUUUGCUUCCACCCGGCUCUCUUUCUUUCUCGCCCUCCUUCCCCUUCGCUUCGCUUCUUUCCGCUCUAUUUGGCUGCCCAUCCGCCCUCUACCUGACGCUUUCGUUUUACGGCCUUGGGCUUGUGAAGCCUCCCGCUUUUGUCGAGCGAGGCCACUUGUUUGCAGAGCAGGAGGAGUGGCGCCCGCCUGCGCGCACGUGUGAUUUGGCGCGCUCUUACAUUUGAUUGCUCUCGAAAGACGGCGGAGGGAGAGUAGACACUGUUUGCACAACCCACGCAGCGCACCCUUGACAGCUCAUCCCGCAGACGCAUCCGCCCCGUGUUUCUCCUCGUCCUCAUACUGGAUUUACGACGACACAGGUGAACAGGACAGCUUUCGCAGAAGGCGAGGAGGGACGCAAAAAGGCGCUUCAGGCCGUCAAGCAGAGCGGUCACGGCGAGCAACAGGGCACAGUCCGGCAUUUUUUCUGUUUCAUUUUUUUUUCGCCUUCGUCUAUGGUCUUUUCACUAGAUUCAGCUCUCUAAGGCGACGCCACGACUGCAAUUUCCGAAAAGAGGCAAUCAUGAUGCCGCCGGCUAUCGAGGUGGGCAAGUCUGCCUACUCGGUUGAAGAAGUUGGCGCGAAAGGCAUGGACGAGGUCAACACCCACACAUCGGUGAGCCUAUGCAGCAGCAGUAGCAGCACCGAUGCAUACGGUCAAACGACGACAGCCACGGCAGUGUCAACGCUGAAAGCUAGGGCGCCCAGCCCCAUCGUCAAGCGCGGCAGUUGCAGUAUUAGCAGCGGUAGCAAUGAAUGCGUCUCGUGUGAUCUGCGAAUGCCGACGCCGCCGACGCCUUGCGAAUUUCUCGAGGACCUCUCUCUCGCCUCCACUGCCGCGGUCGGCGCCCUCUGCGUCGGGGUCAAGGUAGUCAGUGACUCAGCAGCCCUGGCGUUGACACCGAUUUCUCCACUCAGCACCACGUUGGCAAAGAGGAGACUGGCGCCGCCAUAUCCAAUAGACUUUCCCGAAGCAACCUCGGCAGUAGCAGCGACAGCGGCAGCGGGCGGGCCGGUGGAUGCGCUUGAGCCCGCCUCGCAGUUUGCUUCAUCGCUUCGCCUUUCAUCCUUUAGGCCCAAAGACGCAUCGGCGCUUUCUGACGUAGCUGCCGCACCGUCGGCUUUCUCCGUCGCUUCCUUCUCCGGGAACGGUUCGAGGCCGCCACUGCAGCCUACGGGUCUGCACACACAAGCUGGCCCCUUGCACUCAGAGAAGCCGAAGACCAUCAACAAUGCCGCCAUCAGCUCGUUCUUUUCCACACCGCAGCAGACGUACGCUUCCCCAUGCGACUACGCGCCGGUGGAGCACCGCCCGUCGCUGGCGAUGUCGUCAUUACGCUACUGCGAGGGCUAUAGCGCUGUGAAAAGCGGGCUUCUCCCGCAGCCACAUGUAGGUAACAGCCCUGUGUCACUGAGAAGUGCCCAACACCCACCCGGCACCUCUCAUCCACACCACAUUGAAGUCGGUUUCCAGUCGAGUGGCAAUGCCUUGGACGCGCACUGGCAAGCUGCGAGCAGCCCGCCGCGCUGUCAUGGGCGCAUCAGCAGCUCGACCUGCUCUCCCGCUGGUAUGGGAGCCUUGAGUAGAUGGAAGGGUUCGGGGCUCGCAGACGAAGGAUACAGCUACGGCACUUGCGUAGAAAAUCGCUCAAUGGAUGGGGUGACCGGUGCGAACGGAACAUCGGCGGCCGCUUCUAGCGGUGCAGAGCAGAGCGGCUUAUCAGCUGGCAUGGCGGACGGCUGUGGCAGCAGGCCCCAUUCGGUAGCGCGCGACAGCCGCAGUCCACCGACUCCGCCACGUGGGCUGUACCCAUCGGCGCCGUUCGUUUCUUUGGCAGCGCACGCAUCAGCCCCUCAGCAAAUCAUCGCGCCGCCGCCUCACCUUGAUGUGGUGCGCAUGGGAGGCGGCGAGUACGAGUAUAGCACCGGUAAGUCGCUGGCCUACAAUACUGGGCCGGAGUACGGUGACGGCCGCGACAUUCGCUUUCGUGGCUGCGUCCCGCAAGACGUGGUGUGCAUUGAGCAUAUGGACCACCUCGAACACGUUUGCCGCGAAAUUCUGCUCGAGUCGGAGAUGCUGCGCAUGCAACGCGAGCAGCAGCGGCGAGAGCGCGUGUAUAGCGUCGACAAUAACAACGCGGAGGAGGCACACUAUACUGACACGCUUACUAUUGCCCUUGAUCUUGAGGGACGCUCGCUUGGCCGGAUGGGGUCCAUCUGCAUCAUUACUCUUGCCACCUACUCUACGGUAUACAUUAUUGACGUGGUCAUGCUUGGUGCAGAGGCACUGCGUUCCGGCUCGCCCCUGCAGCGUGUGCUCGAGUCGCGUGACAUUAUGAAGUUGAUGUUCGACUGCCGCGCCGACUGCGACGCACUUUUUUUUCUCUACUGCGUGCGCCUGCAAAACGUGUGCGACUUGCAGAUCUCCUCCUGCUUCGCGCUGUUCCCGACGUCGCCACAUCUGCCGGGAAUGAAAAGCGUUUUUCUUGCCUUGGGACUCUUCACUGACGAGGAUACGGGCAUCAAGAACGCCGGUCGUCACCUCUUUAAUCCGCGCUGUGGCGGCAGCUUCGACCGGUGGGAGGAGCGCCCUCUCACGGACGUACUCGUGCAGUACUGCGCUGUCGACGUCAAGUACUUCUUUGCCGCUCAACUGAUCCUGUGGGACCACGUCGAGCAGGGCUGUAGGCUAGGCGAGGCGCGGCUGGCAUCCGUCUGCAACGGCAACUUUCGCGGCUCUUCUAAGAGCAACUCCUUCCGCGACUUUGACGUGAGAAACGAACUGUGAUGCGGCGAUGGACUCAGUCCAGGGCGGCUUUGGCGGGUAUUCAAUUUUUAUUUGGCUCGCUUCCUCCUAGCGCUUUCUGCCUCUGCUGACGGGGGGGGACAUUUCAGUGCGCCGUAUCUGAGGGUGCAGUACACCCCCCGCCCCCUAGCCCUGCCAAAUGCCGGGCCACCUCUGGUGGUGACAGGGCCUAGUGCCUACGACGUAGGGGAAGGCCCGAGCGAUGCAUCACUGCUGAUGUCGGCGGUGAGGGGCUGGAUGGCGCUGCGUCGGACCGACCUGCGACCGUGCACACGCUUGCGCCAUCCACGUGAUGGGCAGAGCGUCCGCGUGACUCGAGCGUGUACCGCACCCCCGGCCCUCGCACUGCUCAGUGGUGUGGGGCGGCGGAGCGCCACCGCGAGUGUGUGUGUGUGCAGCACGUAGGGACCGACAUGAUGUGGGAGCGGCUGUGAGGCGGCCUGCGAGGCAGGAUGGGUGGGCGGGCAGAGCUUGAGGGCAGUGGGGCCGUUCUCCGAUGACUGAGUGGGCGCAUGGCUGUAACAGCAUCUCCACGGCUGCCUGGCGCGGCGCGAUGUGGGGCCGGUGACAGGCCAGGCUCAGUGGCGUUCGAACUGCUGUUGCGUCGAAGCCAGUGGCCAUGUGAAAGACAGUGAGAUGCUCAUAUCAACAGACUUGAACAUCAGCUCAGCGGUAAAACAGCGCGUGUCGUACUUCGACACUCUCGUUUGUGGCUUUUGUGUGUGUGUUUUUUCUGGGUUGCUCGUGUUUUGCUCAUUUCUAUGUUUUUGAUGUUAAGGUUCGACAUCUCUUUGCGUGCGUCGUGUCCCGCUAGCGCUUCUCUUCUGUCUUUUACUUGACGCACACGUACAGACAGAAGCUGACAGGACGAGAGCAAAUAAGGCUUCAGCAGAACAAGGGCAGCUAAAGUGUUGUAUGUAUGUAUGUGAGUGUCUUUCGUUCUCGGGUGCUGAUCUGGGACAGAGAGGGAGACAGAGGUGGACCUCCCUACCUCCCACACACACCCGUCCACACACACACACACACAUGAACGUGUUUUUUUUUCUUGUGCCUCUCUGUGGUGUAUCUCCUCUUUCGUGGAUUUGGCCACAUCCGCCUCCCUUUUUGUUGUUCUUCUGCUGCGUGCGGGCGCCUUUCUCCUUCGCUCCUCUUGCUCCUUCCGCGUUCCUCUCGUUUUUGCGCCUUUACUCGGACUUUCCAGAGUCGUCCCUUUUCGGCCUCUCUGCAUUGACUUUGCGUUCUCCAUUUUUUUUUUUGCUUUGCUUCCUCGUGUUGUUGUCUUUCUUCCAUUUUUCUUCGCCAUCAUCGCUGUCGCUGUUCUGCUCUUUGGUCUUUCUGGUAGUGAUGCUCCCCUUCUCUCUCUCUGUGUGUUUCGGUGCGUUCUCGAGGCUUUCUAUCACCUCUAACGAAGAGGAGCCCGAUGUGGUUUCUUUUUCAUAUAUAUGUAUAUGGAGGGGCGACCCAAAAUGCGCAUAGGGCAGAUGCGGUCUGCUCAUCCGUCUUUUUUGAAUUAAAUCUUCGCUUACUGUUUUUAUAUUUCCGUUGUACUGCGUUCGAUCUCCCCGACGCAGUUUGUUGCUUUCCUUCAUCCACUUUUCGUCAUCAGCUGCUCAACGACAGACCUUGGAAUUCUUUUUGUCCAUCGAAAUCACAAGAUCUACAUCAUCAUAAGCAUGCGGGCAGGCGGCCACACACACAGACAGACACACGCAAGCGUAUGCAUUCAGAGGUGUGUGUGUGUUUCCUUUUUCUUUCUCUUUUGCCCCCCCCCCCCCACCCCUCCCUUCCCUCUCCUCCCUGUGUUACGCUGCUAGAACUCUCUGUAGCUGUCUCGUUGCAUUUCUUUGUGCUUUCAUUCUGGAAAACACGUAUCACGUUUGCUUGAUGUGUGAUGCUUGUGAACUCUUCCGUUCUUCUCUCUUGUGUGUGUGUGUGUGCCCUUUCAAAGUGCCGUGCUCUGCUUGCGAGUGUGACCGAACUCGAUAAUGCACAAAAUGGUGUGUAUCUUGUUUUCUCUGUUCUAGCCCCUCCCACACCUCCUGCUGCUUCCUUCCUUUUCGCAAGUCGCGCCAUGUUUAUCGACCACCUUUCUAUUUGGUGCACAGAACGUUUUGCCCUUCUUGUGUCUGUCGUUGUCUUUCACGCACUCUUGUUUUCUCUUUCUGCCUCAGCCACUCUGCGGUGACGCUGCGCCGACUCACCGGAGCGACUGCUUCCGUGCCGAUGUCUUUAGGGGCUCGUGGCGCCUAUCAGUUUCACGGGUGUCUCCUUGGGGGAGAGAGUGAGAGCAGGCCUGUGUGUGUGUGUUGAAUGGGACGGAGAACAGGGGAGAAGCGGUCUCAAAAUAACCAACACAGACCCAAGAAAGCGAAACAGCGCCUCUGCAAUGGGAAGGAAAGAAAACAUCUUGCGUGAAGAUAAGCGAACAACAAGGUUUGGGAUGACUUUAUGCUCUGCUUGUAUUUCUGCAAUUGUGUGAGCAUCUUUUAGCUCUCUCAUGUUCUUUGCUUCUGUCUUUUUUCGUUUUUUUUUUGUUUUGCCGUGCAUGUUGCGUACAUACAUCGCUGCGUGCGUGUGUCUUCUUCAUUACUUCUUCGAGGGCGUCGUUUAUUUUCUCUACAUUCGAAGAAACCAACAAC